Molecule: ribosomal RNA, 41 nt
Filed under: Zhuliangomyces subillinitus
Lineage: Eukaryota; Fungi; Basidiomycota; Agaricomycetes; Agaricales; Amanitaceae
Also listed under: 2 other names
Description: partial 28S ribosomal RNA
Source: RNAcentral
UGUGACCUCAAAUCAGGUAGGACUACCCGCUGAACUUAAGC